Molecule: unclassified non-coding RNA, 336 nt
Filed under: soil metagenome
Description: partial contains 5.8S ribosomal RNA, internal transcribed spacer 2, and large subunit ribosomal RNA
Rfam family: 5.8S ribosomal RNA (bases 1-120)
Source: RNAcentral
GAUGAAGAACGUAGUGAAAUGCGAUAAGUAAUGUGAAUUGCAGAAUUCAGUGAAUCAUCGAAUCUUUGAACGCACAUUGCGCCCGCCAGUAUUCUGGCGGGCAUGCCUGUUCGAGCGUCAUUUCAACCAUCAAGCCCCCGGGCUUGUGUUGGGGACCUGCGGCUGCCGCAGGCCCUGAAAAGCAGUGGCGGGCUCGCUGUCACACCGAGCGUAGUAGAUUUUAUCUCGCUCUGGGCGUGCUGCGGGUUCCGGCCGUUAAACCACCCUUUUAACCCAAGGUUGACCUCGGAUCAGGUAGGAAGACCCGCUGAACUUAAGCAUAUAAUAAGCGGAGGA